GGAGGCGCUAGUGCGCAUGCUCAGACCGUCUGCCAGCCCAUAGGUUGCACAGGAUUGAACAGACACUUUCUCCGAGUUGGACAGCCUCGGUGCCCUAACUUGUGUGCCUUCCUCCAUCGAGGCUGCCCCACGAAUGUUCCAGGCUGUAUUAGUGGCUAACCCCCGGCCGGAAAACCAGAAAAAGCUCAAGAUUAUAUACUUGAGUGAUGAUGGGAUUAAUGCUGGCCUCCUGCUCUAGACUGGAAGCUCCAUGAGGGCAAGCUGCAGCUCCGGGCACUUAAGAUCCUGCACGCAUGGACGGUUUCAGGCCGGCCGCCUUUCUUCAGCGCGGAAUCUCCCUUCUUCCCCAAACGCUCUGCCACCCGCAGGCUCCAUCCAUCCAAUACCCGCGAGCCCACGUGGCGGCACUGAGGGGCCCAGGGCCUUUACCCCUGCAGAAGCGCUUCCCGCCAUCCCUCCGGCUGCUUGGAAGUACGGCAUCCCGUACCGUGGAGCACGGCACCUGUCACCCAGUCCUGUAGCCCCGUAUCGGACACAGACUGCGGUCCCGGUCAGCUCUCCACCCCAGCACCCCAGCAUCGUCAGCUGGGUGAAUGAUCAAGAGUAAAAGCGUAUUUCAAAACCGACAGCUUAGGGUCUCCCGGACGCCUGCACUUCCGGGUGGCCGUUGGGUGGCUCAGUGGGGCGUAAGGAAAGGAGAAGGGGCGCCUCCAUAGGGACAGUUCUAGGAAGUGGGCUCGGUGGUCUGGAGGACCUGGAGGUACGCCACACAAAGUGAGGCUUUGGCGUCUGCGCACUAGCCGCUCUCCGCGAGGAAGCGGGACCUAGAGGAGCAUGGGGCGGAGCGUGAGGACCACACUGGCCACUUAGCGCCCUCGAUCCGCCGAGGGGCUGGGCUCGGCUUGACUGGGAGGUGGGGAAGAGGGAGUAACUGGUCAGAUUUUCAAAGUGGUCCUUGAUUUCAGGAAGAGGGGAACAGGAACCAAGAAAAAUAAAGAAGUUUUUUUUUUUUUCUUUUCUUUUUUCUCCCCUUCCUCCCUCCCUUUAUGUUUGCUGUAGGCAAAGAUUAAGUGCAGCAACAUGCUUGAUUUUGUUUCUUCCAGCCUUCUCUGAAUCUUCACUGUAGGCAGUGAAAUGCCUUAAGCUUCCAUUCAGUGCCCUCCACCCAAGCCAUUCAGCUCAGAAGUUAAACCAACACACUGCAGCAUGAAGGAGGGAAUAUUCCAAUUCAUAUAGAGGACCUUGUGCUUGCCAGGCAGGAGCUUGUACCGCUGAGCUAUAUUGCCGGCCCCUUUAAUGGCGUUCAAUUUCAACUCUGUUAUAACAAGGUAUUAGAGAUAAUAGGGCUGUUCUUUAUCAUUGCAAUUAACAUAAUCUUAUUUCCUUACAAUUAAGUAAGCUUUUCUGCCUUAUUCUUUUUCCAUUUUGUUCGUUUUUGACCAUGUGGGGUGUUCAUUGUUAUUUGUAUACAGUACUGUAUGACCUAACCUAACAUGUCCCUAAGAUGUUGUUCUGUGUAAUCUUGGCUCUGCUUUUAGACUUCCUGUUUUUCUGUUUUUUUUCACUUCUUGGUUAACUUCCUGUUCUAUUCAUUUGGCUCUCCUAUUUUUGGUCUGCCUUGUGACUUGGCGCCAGAAGAAUGAUUUAAUGACAGAUUAUAAAAGCUAACCUGGUAUGGUGGCACACACUUUUAAUCCCAGAACUCUGGAAGGCUGAGGCAAGAGGACUGCAA
Molecule: long non-coding RNA, 1732 nt
Organism: Chinchilla lanigera (long-tailed chinchilla)
Lineage: Eukaryota; Metazoa; Chordata; Mammalia; Rodentia; Chinchillidae
Exons: 4
Source: RefSeq, a predicted model, not a curated record